This 420-nucleotide RNase P RNA is filed under the name Trichodesmium erythraeum IMS101. Its description in RNAcentral is "Bacterial RNase P class A". It matches the Rfam family "Bacterial RNase P class A". From Rfam's summary of the family: Ribonuclease P (RNase P) is a ubiquitous endoribonuclease, found in archaea, bacteria and eukarya as well as chloroplasts and mitochondria. Its best characterised activity is the generation of mature 5'-ends of tRNAs by cleaving the 5'-leader elements of precursor-tRNAs. Lineage: Bacteria; Bacillati; Cyanobacteriota; Cyanophyceae; Oscillatoriales; Microcoleaceae. RNAcentral also lists the same sequence under 3 other names. The record is from Rfam by way of RNAcentral.
AAAAGUAGAAGAGGCAGUUGCGGACUCAAUACUUAUUUAGGGUCUGAGGAAAGUCCGGGCUCCCAAAAGACCAAGCCUGCUGGAUAACGCCCAGUGCGAGUGAUCGUGAGGAUAGUGCCACAGAAAAAUACCGCCAAAGUAGAUUAAUUAUUAUUGUUUAGUCACUUCAGGUAAGGGUGCAAAGGUGCGGUAAGAGCGCACCAGCAGUGUCGUGAGAUACUGGCUCGGUAAACCCCGGCGGGGAGCAAGGUCGAAGGAACAAUGGUUGGUCUUUUUCCGGUUCCAUUGCAUUAUAGAUUUAUUUGUAAUGUUUGGUGUACCGCAAGAGGUGUCUGGUAACAGGCAUCCCAGAUAGAUAACUGCCCUCAAAGCUUGUUUGAGUUGAGAGAACAGAACCCGGCUUACUUCCUACUUUUUCCU